UUUUUUUUUUUUUUUUUUUUUUUUUUUUCAGUGAAAGCAAAACAAGACAAUCCAAGAACCAAGAUACGGUCAGUUUUACAGGUAGAAGUGAAAACCAGGCUUUUAAAAUGACAUUAAAUUUAUUUUCUCCAGGCCAAAUGGAUUCAUUGCACUGAGAGAAAUUUUAGAGGACAUCUCAUUAUUCCGUGACUUUCAAAGAGAGUGGCCCAUGGAAGUCUUCCAGAUUGCCCUUGGGAUGACCUCAACGUACCAAUAUUU
Molecule: long non-coding RNA, 258 nt
Organism: Neofelis nebulosa (Clouded leopard)
Lineage: Eukaryota; Metazoa; Chordata; Mammalia; Carnivora; Felidae
Exons: 3
Source: RefSeq, a predicted model, not a curated record